AUUGAACGCUGGCGGCAGGCCUAACACAUGCAAGUCGAACGGUAGCACAGAGAGCUUGCUCUCGGGUGACGAGUGGCGGACGGGUGAGUAAUGUCUGGGAAACUGCCCGAUGGAGGGGGAUAACUACUGGAAACGGUAGCUAAUACCGCAUAACGUCGCAAGACCAAAGUGGGGGACCUUCGGGCCUCACACCAUCGGAUGUGCCCAGAUGGGAUUAGCUAGUAGGUGGGGUAAUGGCUCACCUAGGCGACGAUCCCUAGCUGGUCUGAGAGGAUGACCAGCCACGCUGGAACUGAGACACGGUCCAGACUCCUACGGGAGGCAGCAGUGGGGAAUAUUGCACAAUGGGCGCAAGCCUGAUGCAGCCAUGCCGCGUGUAUGAAGAAGGCCUUCGGGUUGUAAAGUACUUUCAGCGGGGAGGAAGGCGGUGGAGUUAAUAACUUCACCGAUUGACGUUACCCGCAGAAGAAGCACCGGCUAACUCCGUGCCAGCCGCCGCAGUAA
Molecule: ribosomal RNA, 504 nt
Filed under: uncultured bacterium
Lineage: Bacteria
Description: partial 16S ribosomal RNA
Rfam family: Bacterial small subunit ribosomal RNA
Source: RNAcentral